UACCAUGCAGUCGAACGGCAGCAUGAUCUAGCUUGCUAGAUUGAUGGCGAGUGGCGAACGGGUGAGUAAUACAUCGGAACGUGCCCUGUAGUGGGGGAUAACUAGUCGAAAGAUUAGCUAAUACCGCAUACGACCUGAGGGUGAAAGUGGGGGACCGCAAGGCCUCAUGCUAUAGGAGCGGCCGAUGUCUGAUUAGCUAGUUGGUGGGGUAAAGGCCCACCAAGGCGACGAUCAGUAGCUGGUCUGAGAGGACGAUCAGCCACACUGGGACUGAGACACGGCCCAGACUCCUACGGGAGGCAGCAGUGGGGAAUUUUGGACAAUGGGCGAAAGCCUGAUCCAGCAAUGCCGCGUGUGUGAAGAAGGCCUUCGGGUUGUAAAGCACUUUUGUCCGGAAAGAAAUGGCUCUGGUUAAUACCUGGGGUCGAUGACGGUACCGGAAGAAUAAGGACCGGCUAACUACGUGCCAGCAGCCGCGGUAAUACGUAGGGUCCAAGCGUUAAUCGGAAUUACUGGGCGUAAAGCGUGCGCAGGCGGUUGUGCAAGACCGAUGUGAAAUCCCCGAGCUUAACUUGGGAAUUGCAUUGGUGACUGCACGGCUAGAGUGUGUCAGAGGGGGGUAGAAUUCCACGUGUAGCAGUGAAAUGCGUAGAGAUGUGGAGGAAUACCGAUGGCGAAGGCAGCCCCCUGGGAUAACACUGACGCUCAUGCACG
This 714-nucleotide ribosomal RNA is filed under the name Ralstonia pickettii. Its description in RNAcentral is "bacterial SSU rRNA". It matches the Rfam family "Bacterial small subunit ribosomal RNA", at positions 52 to 755 of the family's 1533-position model. Lineage: Bacteria; Pseudomonadati; Pseudomonadota; Betaproteobacteria; Burkholderiales; Burkholderiaceae. The record is from RNAcentral.